Molecule: ribosomal RNA, 497 nt
Filed under: uncultured bacterium
Lineage: Bacteria
Description: partial 16S ribosomal RNA
Rfam family: Bacterial small subunit ribosomal RNA
Source: RNAcentral
GAUGAACGCUGGCGGCGUGCCUAAUACAUGCAAGUCGAGCGAACGGACGAGAAGCUUGCUUUUCUGAUGUUAGCGGCGGACGGGUGAGUAACACGUGGAUAACCUACCUAUAAGACUGGGAUAACUUCGGGAAACCGGAGCUAAUACCGGAUAAUAUUUUGAACCGCAUGGUUCAAAAGUGAAAGACGGUCUUGCUGUCACUUAUAGAUGGAUCCGCGCUGCAUUAGCUAGUUGGUAAGGUAACGGCUUACCAAGGCAACGAUGCAUAGCCGACCUGAGAGGGUGAUCGGCCACACUGGAACUGAGACACGGUCCAGACUCCUACGGGAGGCGGCAGUAGGGAAUCUUCCGCAAUGGGCGAAAGCCUGACGGAGCAACGCCGCGUGAGUGAUGAAGGUCUUCGGAUCGUAAAACUCUGUUAUUAGGGAAAAACAUAUGUGUAAGUAACUGUGCACAUCUUGACGGUACCUAAUCAGAAAGCCACGGCUAACUACGUG